This 72-nucleotide transfer RNA is filed under the name Camelus bactrianus (Bactrian camel). It matches the Rfam family "tRNA". Rfam says of the family: Transfer RNA (tRNA) molecules are approximately 80 nucleotides in length. Their secondary structure includes four short double-helical elements and three loops (D, anti-codon, and T loops). Further hydrogen bonds mediate the characteristic L-shaped molecular structure. tRNAs have two regions of fundamental functional importance: the anti-codon, which is responsible for specific mRNA codon recognition, and the 3' end, to which the tRNAs corresponding amino acid is attached (by aminoacyl-tRNA synthetases). tRNAs cope with the degeneracy of the genetic code in two manners: having more than one tRNA (with a specific anti-codon) for a particular amino acid; and 'wobble' base-pairing, i.e. permitting non-standard base-pairing at the 3rd anti-codon position. RNAcentral also lists the same sequence under 2 other names. Lineage: Eukaryota; Metazoa; Chordata; Mammalia; Artiodactyla; Camelidae. The record is from Rfam by way of RNAcentral.
ACAGGUAUAGCUCAGUGGUAGAGCACAUGCUUAGCAUGCAUGAGGUCCUGGGUUCAAUCCCCAGUACCUCCA